Molecule: ribosomal RNA, 229 nt
Filed under: Vibrio parahaemolyticus
Lineage: Bacteria; Pseudomonadati; Pseudomonadota; Gammaproteobacteria; Vibrionales; Vibrionaceae
Also listed under: 2 other names
Description: partial 16S ribosomal RNA
Rfam family: Bacterial small subunit ribosomal RNA
Source: RNAcentral
AAAUUGAAGAGUUUGAUCAUGGCUCAGAUUGAACGCUGGCGGCAGGCCUAACACAUGCAAGUCGAGCGGAAACGAGUUGUCAGAACCUUCGGGGGACGAUAACGGCGUCGAGCGGCGGACGGGUGAGUAAUGCCUAGGAAAUUGCCCUGAUGUGGGGGAUAACCAUUGGAAACGAUGGCUAAUACCGCAUGAUGCCUACGGGCCAAAGAGGGGGACCUUCGGGCCUCUC